UCAAAUAUAUAUGUGAUGAGGCUAUAUGUUGACUAAAUAAUUAGUAUAAAAAAAUAUUACCUUUUUUUUUAUUUAUACUUAACUUCUAAUUAUUUUACUUAUAUUAUUUCACUCAAAUAAUUUUGAAAUUAACUAAAUCGAAUAGUAAUUCAGUAAAUAAUCUAAUUUCUUAGCUUUUAGUAAAUACAAUUAUGACAAUUGAUGACUAUUAGUUGACAGAGCUAUUAAAUUUAAUAUAAUUUUUAAUUUAAUCACGUAAAAAUUUUAUCUAAAAUAAUU
Molecule: long non-coding RNA, 279 nt
Filed under: Ananas comosus (pineapple)
Lineage: Eukaryota; Viridiplantae; Streptophyta; Magnoliopsida; Poales; Bromeliaceae
Description: long non-coding RNA (ACOM_LNC013862)
Source: RNAcentral